Molecule: transfer RNA, 64 nt
Filed under: Dipodomys ordii (Ord's kangaroo rat)
Lineage: Eukaryota; Metazoa; Chordata; Mammalia; Rodentia; Heteromyidae
Rfam family: tRNA
About the family: Transfer RNA (tRNA) molecules are approximately 80 nucleotides in length. Their secondary structure includes four short double-helical elements and three loops (D, anti-codon, and T loops).
Source: Rfam by way of RNAcentral
AGGAAUGUGGCUUAGUGGUAGAGCGCUUGCCUAGCAUGCAUGAAGCCCUAGGAUUCCAUUCCUU